Molecule: long non-coding RNA, 458 nt
Organism: Brassica oleracea var. oleracea
Lineage: Eukaryota; Viridiplantae; Streptophyta; Magnoliopsida; Brassicales; Brassicaceae
Exons: 2
Source: RefSeq, a predicted model, not a curated record
AACCUAGAAUUCAUCUCUACUGACCUCUUGCAAAACAUCUCUUCCUCCGGAAUCAUUGUUACUCAUGCCCCCUGCGGUAUGCACGACUUACAUGAUUUUCUUAUCGACUGGUCUGCGGAUGAGCUUAAAAACCCACAUCCUCCUGGUUACGUAAUGAUCAUCUCGAGUGAUUAUAGACUGCUUUACCCUAAGCGUUUUCGGCUUUUUGGAUUCACUACUUUUGUUGCAUAUCCAAAAGGUGUUCGCCUACUUGCCCAUCUUACCCAGCUAAAAUUUAUUGGCCGAGAGUUUGACGAAGUGUUUGCCAAAGAGUUUGUCUGGGAAACCUUAUUGAGUGAUAAUUUGGAUGAAACUUUAUUAUUGAGUGACAACAACACAUGUGAUGAGAAACCUCUCUGCAUUUGCAACAUAUGCUGUUAUGAUUACGAAGUAUGUGACGAAUUCAUCACUCAUCUCAA